This 301-nucleotide ribosomal RNA is filed under the name uncultured bacterium. RNAcentral describes it as "partial 16S ribosomal RNA". It matches the Rfam family "Bacterial small subunit ribosomal RNA", at positions 509 to 807 of the family's 1533-position model. The record is from RNAcentral.
CAGUCGCCGCGGUAAUACGGAGGGUGCAAGCGUUAAUCGGAAUUACUGGGCGUAAAGCGUGCGUAGGCGGCUUCUUAAGUCGGAUGUGAAAUCCCUGAGCUUAACUUAGGAAUUGCAUUCGAUACUGGGAAGCUAGAGUAUGGGAGAGGAUGGUAGAAUUCCAGGUGUAGCGGUGAAAUGCGUAGAGAUCUGGAGUAAUACCGAUGGCGAAGGCAGCCAUCUGGCCUAAUACUGACGCUGAGGUACGAAAGCAUGGGGAGCAAACAGGAUUAGAGACCCCAGUAGUCCCUGUCUCUUAUAC